GAUGAAGAACGUAGCGAAAUGCGAUAAGUAAUGUGAAUUGCAGAAUUCAGUGAAUCAUCGAAUCUUUGAACGCACCUUGCGCCUUUUGGUAUUCCGAAAGGCACACCUGUUUGAGCGUCAUGAAUACCUCAAUCUCCAUCUUUUCUUCGGAUUGAUGGGUGACUUGGAUGUUGAGCCCUGCUGGUAUGCUAUAUCAGCUGGCUUUAAACUUAUUAGCCGGCUCUGUACUGGAUCGGUUUGACUCGACGUGAUAAUAUUAUCGUUGAGGAUGCAUGUCUCAUGCAGCCGGAAAGUAUCAAAGCAGCUUCUGGCUUGCCUUUAGUGCACUUUUACAUUUUAGACCUCAGAUCAGGUGGGACUACCCGCUGAACUUAAGCAUAUCAAUAAGCGGAGGA
RNAcentral lists this unclassified non-coding RNA (395 nucleotides) under soil metagenome. RNAcentral's name for it is "partial contains 5.8S ribosomal RNA, internal transcribed spacer 2, and large subunit ribosomal RNA". The stretch from base 1 to 120 matches the Rfam family "5.8S ribosomal RNA", at positions 35 to 154 of the family's 154-position model. The record is from RNAcentral.